Molecule: ribosomal RNA, 470 nt
Filed under: Lodderomyces parapsilosis
Lineage: Eukaryota; Fungi; Ascomycota; Pichiomycetes; Serinales; Debaryomycetaceae
Description: eukaryotic LSU rRNA
Rfam family: 5.8S ribosomal RNA (bases 132-285)
Source: RNAcentral
UACUGCAUUUUUUCUUACRCAUGUGUUUUUCUUUUUGAAAACUUUGCUUUGGUAGGCCUUCUAUAUGGGGCCUGCCAGAGAUUAAACUCAACCAAAUUUUAUUUAAUGUCAACCGAUUAUUUAAUAGUCAAAACUUUCAACAACGGAUCUCUUGGUUCYCGCAUCGAUGAAGAACGCAGCGAAAUGCGAUAAGUAAUAUGAAUUGCAGAUAUUCGUGAAUCAUCGAAUCUUUGAACGCACAUUGCGCCCUUUGGUAUUCCAAAGGGCAUGCCUGUUUGAGCGUCAUUUCUCCCUCAAACCCUCGGGUUUGGUGUUGAGCGAUACGCUGGGUUUGCUUGAAAGAAAGGCGGAGUAUAAACUAAUGGAUAGGUUUUUUCCACUCAUUGGUACAAACUCCAAAACUUCUUCCAAAUUCGACCUCAAAUCAGGUAGGACUACCCGCUGAACUUAAGCAUAUCAAUAAGCGGAGG